RNAcentral lists this ribosomal RNA (303 nucleotides) under uncultured bacterium. RNAcentral describes it as "partial 16S ribosomal RNA". It matches the Rfam family "Bacterial small subunit ribosomal RNA", at positions 507 to 807 of the family's 1533-position model. The record is from RNAcentral.
AGCAGUAGCCGCGGGAAUACGAAGGGUGCAAGCGUUACUCGGAAUUACUGGGCGUAAAGCGUGCGUAGGCGGCUUUUUAAGUCGGAUGUGAAAUCCCUGAGCUUAACUUAGGAAUUGCAUUCGAUACUGGGAAGCUAGAGUAUGGGAGAGGAUGGUAGAAUUCCAGGUGUAGCGGUGAAAUGCGUAGAGAUCUGGAGGAAUACCGAUGGCGAAGGCAGCCAUCUGGCCUAAUACUGACGCUGAGGUACGAAAGCAUGGGGAGCAAACAGGAUUAGAUACCCCCGUAGUCCCUGUCUCUUAUAC